GGUCAGAUAGUGCAAUGGUUAGCACGCCUGAGUACAAACCAGGAGACCCGGGUUCGAUUCCACUACAUCCGCCA
This is a non-coding RNA of Calocera viscosa TUFC12733, 74 nucleotides long. The record is from the annotation of a GenBank genome assembly. Lineage: Eukaryota; Fungi; Basidiomycota; Dacrymycetes; Dacrymycetales; Dacrymycetaceae.